CCGUCGAUAGCUCAGUUGGUAGAGCGGUGGACCGUAGAUCCAUAGGUCGCUGGUUCAAAUCCGCCUCGACGGA
Molecule: transfer RNA, 73 nt
Filed under: Rhipicephalus microplus (southern cattle tick)
Lineage: Eukaryota; Metazoa; Arthropoda; Arachnida; Ixodida; Ixodidae
Description: tRNA-Tyr
Rfam family: tRNA
About the family: Transfer RNA (tRNA) molecules are approximately 80 nucleotides in length. Their secondary structure includes four short double-helical elements and three loops (D, anti-codon, and T loops).
Source: RNAcentral